AUCUGGAUAUCUACUGAGCUUCUAGGCUGAGACCAUUCAUAGUAGCCUUAGAUAUGGAUUCAGACACCCUGCAAGCCUUCCAGAAUGAGCUCAUUUGCCCAUUUGCAUGAACUACUUCAUAGACCCGGUCACCAUUGACUGUGGGCACAGCUUUAUGCGGCCUGCCUCUACUUCUGCUGGGAAGAAGGCAGGCACCAAUGCGCUGCCCUGAGUGCAGAAAAAUCUCAGCGAGCCCGCUUCAAACACCAUUUCGACUCAAAAAGCUGGGCUUUCCCUAGCCAGACUGACCAGACCUCAGCAACCAUCAACAACCACACAAUAUCUGUUGUGCUCCAUGAAGAGACUAAGGAGCUCUCUGUGAGGUUGACAAGCCAAUUGCUCUGUGGGCCUGCAUCUGAAGUCACACAGAGCCACAAUGGCUCACAGCCCAACAGUCCAAUAGCGAUGGGCUGCUGAGGAAUGCAGGGUAUCUUCUUGCUUCUUUUGCAGGCAGAAACUUAUAAACGAAUUGGACUAUUUUAUGGAAAAUCAAUCAAGAGACACAAAAUAAUCUAAAUCAGGAAACUAGCAAAUUUCGUUCGUUAGUGGACUAUGUCUCUUUAAGGAAGGUGAUAAUCACUAUUCAAUAUCAAAAGAUGCAUAUAUUUCUCGAUGAGGAGGAGCAACUGCAUCUGCAGGCACUGGAAAGAGAAGCAAAAGAGCUUUUCCAACAACUACAAGACAGUCAAGUGAGAAUGACCCAACAUUUAGAAAGGAUGAAAGACAUGUACAGAGAGCUGCGGGAAACGUGCCACAUGCCUGACGUGGAGCUGCUCCAGGAUGUGAGAAAUGUAUCGGCCAGGGCUGAUUUGGCACAGAUGCAAAAGCCCCAGCCAGUGAACCCAGAGCUCACUUCAUGGUGCAUAACUGGAGUCCUAGACAUGCUCAACAAUUUCAGAAUGGAUAAUGCUCUGAGCACGGAAAUGACUCCUUGCUCUAUAAGCCUUUCUGAGGAUGUGAGACGUGUGAUAUUUGGAGUUGACCAUCGCAGUGCACCCAUGGAUCCCCAGGGAGUGGAGAGCUUUGCUGUGUGGGGAGCACAAGCGUUCACCUCUGGCAGGCAUUACUGGGAAGUGGAUGUGACCCACUCCUCCACCUGGAUUCUGGGAGUCUGUAGAGAUUCCACGACAGCAGAUAGCAGUAUCGUUAUUGAUUCUGAUGAAACAUUUUUGUUAAUUUCCUCAAAGAGGAGCAAUCGCUAUAGUCUCUCCAUCAACUCUCCACUUUUAAUUCAGCAUGUGCAAAGGCCUCUGGGUCGGGUUGGGGUGUUUCUGGAUUAUGAUAAUGGAUCUGUGAGUUUUUUUGAUGUUUCUAAAGGUUCUCUUAUCUAUGGUUUUCCUCCUUCCUCCUUCUCUUCCCCUCUGAGGCCUUUCUUUUGCUUUGGUUGUACAUGAAAAGUUGGUUUCAUGAUGAUUUAUUGUGACCCCCCAUAUAUGAUGCAAAUAGUGUCCUGAGACCCGAUGUGUGAGAGCCUGUGAGCUCCUUGUAACUUCAUGGAAUGUAAUUACUUUAUGGUUAUACAUGGGAUAACCACCUUGAAUAUGUACAUUUGUUAAUUAAUUUAUUUUAAUUAAUAAGUUAUUGUGAAAUCUUUACUAGAGCAUCAAUAAUGGCUUUUCUUGUACAAGUUUUGUUGAGAUUCAUUCACUUACCCUGAAAGUCAUGUUCUAAUGUAUUUAAUUCAGAGAAUUUAGUAUAUUGCACUUGUGCAGCCAUCAGAACUCUCUACAACCUGGGCACUUUUAUCACUUCCAGAAGUAUCCCAAUACCCAUUAACAUUUAUUCUCCACUCACCUUGCCCCAUGCCUUCAUAACACUUAAUCUACUUUUUAUGUUUUUGCAUUCAGGUAAAUAAAAUCAUACAAUAUAAGUUCUUUUUAAAUCAGGUUUCUUUUUCAGAGAUUAUGUUUUUAGUUUGUACAUACUGUAAACCAUUUGUCUUACUUGUACAUUUGAACAGGCUGGGGUAGAAAAAUGAAGUGGUGGAUAUCUUAUGUAUCUUUAUAUAUAUAAAAAAGAGUGCUUAUUUUCUUUUUAAGUCUGACCAAGUUAAGUUGACCUCACAGACUUUACUAUUUCGCAACAUCCUAGUUAUUAAUCACAUUUCAGCUCAUACAACAGUUUCUCAGUGCUGGGUUGUUCUGCUAUUACAAAUUCUCUGAGUAUAUUAUAUCAGAUUAUAAUAUUCAGAAAACUCUUAUUCUUAUUACUACCAGAUUGAAAAUUCCAAGGGGGUAAUGGCACUAUUUGUCUUCUUUGCUAAUAUAUUACCAUUAUCCAAUGCAAUUUUUAGAAUAGAUAACACAAUAAAUAAAAUGAAUAAAUGGAUAAGUAGAGGAGUUAUGUAAUACUAUUCUAACAUUAAGAAACUUUUUCAAAAUGUAAGUAACCAAAUAGGAUAGAACAUACUAAUGAAUAUCUAUCAAAAGAUAAGAAAUAAAUUGAUUUUCAGAUUCCUGUCAAAGAUAAUACUGUUAUGUUAGGGUUUAAAAUAAUUGUAGCAUGAUUUUUAUAGGGUUGAUUUCAAUUGUCUUAGGUUUUUUAAUAUAAACCAUUGAAAGAGGAAGGUUCCUAUGUAAGAUGACGGGGAACAGGAACAGGACUUAGAAUAAUGGAGACUGUCCUGAUUUUAACUGAUGUAUACGUUUAAUUACUUACUAAGCAUAAAGUGGUAUAAAUAUUCUUAUGCAGUAGAAAGAACAACAUUAGUUUAAAUUUUAAAUAAGAAUCCAGAUGAUACAGAAUGGAAAAUUCUAUAAUAGAAUGUGAAAGCUACGUCUCCUAAGGCACCAGCUUACCUGCUUUAACAAAGACCACAAAUUUGAAAUGAUUCAGAAGGUGCAUUGCUCUCACAUGUUUGUACCAAUAUAGGAGUUGGUCAAGAAGAAGACUAACAUCUUCAAUAAGUGAAUUUUUUCUCUGUGUGCAGAAAACUCCCAUUUAUUGCCAUGACCCAUGCAGCAGGAAAGCCAAAAGAAAAGCAGGAUGGACAAGAGUAUUUGGCUAUAAGGAAAUCAUCUGGUGUUCUUCACAAUGCUUUGAUUCCCAUCCUAUAGGUUCAAAAUUAGGCACAUGGCACACCAAGAUGUAAGAUAUAUCUGGUAAUGCUGUUUACAUUCAAAACAAUAUUUAUUCUCAUCAUUUGAUUCAGAAAACAAAUUAAAUGACUGGCACAACAGAAAAUAACCCAAGAGAUUUGUUCAACGAAACAAAGCAGAACCUCAACCAAAGAGAUAAGGUGCUGCUUAAGAUUAUCAUCAGUCCUUAGUAUUCCAGAGUGAGUAAACCCUGCUUUUUAUCACUGUCAAAGUGUCCAGUGUUGUCCUUUUCAGAGCCUGGCUAGCUGAGGGUUAUGUGGCAAGAAACAUCUUACUUGUAUUUUAGUCCCUUAAAUGAAUGAUUUAGAUAGGAAUGAUUCUCCAAAUUUUGAAAAUACUUCUCAGAAAUGUUCUCUUAUUCCUUCACUUUAUACCACAUAGACUUUAUAAUAAUCUCUCUCUUCUGCCUGCACAUGUUUAUUGCAGAACAUUAGGGAUUAGCAGAGAGAAAGCUUCUCACCCGCAUCUUUUGGACUCACUGCUUUUUUCCAAGUGAUCUGAGAUGAUAAAAUUAUUCACCUUAGGGCUCCAACCCAGCACUCCUUUUUGAUUUUCACCUAUGUUUUGUGAGCUUUUCUGUUGAUGCUAAAACUCUAUGCAAUAGUCAACGCCUCAUAAUUUAAUUACAUUAGUUGUUCCUAGUUUGCAAGGAAAAAUUUAUUCCUGACAUUCUUCUAAUUUAGCUCAGAUUCACUUUUGCAGAAAGACAGAAUUAGCUACCUUACGAUCAUUUAGCAUUUGACUCUGAUUUUGGAAGAUGAAAAAAUGUUUGUGUCUAUUUAGCAUACUUUCUUAGCCAUUUAACCAAGAUAAUCUUAUUCUAUUGAUUCUCCUAGAGAUACCGUAGUUAUUUAUUCUCUUCACCUGUCAAAAUUUAUGUUAGACUGUCACCAAGACUUACUUAAAAUUGAAAUAAAUCAAAGAGACACCACUAAGAACAUUGUCAAUCAUUAAUCCAGAAAU
Molecule: RNA transcript, 4100 nt
Organism: Cercocebus atys (sooty mangabey)
Lineage: Eukaryota; Metazoa; Chordata; Mammalia; Primates; Cercopithecidae
Gene name: putative tripartite motif-containing protein 64B
Exons: 7
Source: RefSeq, a predicted model, not a curated record